RNAcentral lists this small RNA (1233 nucleotides) under Histoplasma capsulatum var. duboisii H88. RNAcentral describes it as "Histoplasma capsulatum H88 hypothetical RNA". Lineage: Eukaryota; Fungi; Ascomycota; Eurotiomycetes; Onygenales; Ajellomycetaceae. The record is from RNAcentral.
CUGUCGUGUAAAACUAAAAUGAUAUGAAUUUAUGUCACAAAGCUCAUUAACUAUAAGAAAAGGACGGUGAGCACCAGAUAGACGAAUAUGAGGAAAAAUUUGUCAGAAUACUGCUUACGUACCGCGAGGUACUUCCUGGGAGAGCAGACGGAACCUCGCAGAGCAGGAGGGCCGAAUAUAAAGAGUCCAUUAAAAGACUAAAAGCAAAAGAGAGAAGGGGAAAAUUAAGAAAGAGAUAGGCGAUUGAACCGGGGAAACGAUUCAUGUUUAUAUUUCUGUAUAGUAUGUACCAAAAUAAAAGGAAAAAAUUCUAGUUUGAUAAUCCCACUGUCACACAACUUUGUCCCAGGCCAAGUUCACUUAAUUAAGAUAUUCUUUUUUCCUCAUAGGAAGUACUGCAUGCUAGGAGCUAAGCCUAGAAUUCACAUAUGGAACUAGAAGUCGGGAAGCAGAUGAAAAAAAAAAAAGAACGGCUAGCUAUCCACAGUCAAAGAUGGCAAAUAGCGAAAAGGAGAGAUAUACAUGCAGUAUGUAGCUCGUGGACUCGUGGUAAAUUAUAGGUUUGGUAUAUAAAUCAUUCUCAUAAAUGUGUCGAAAUGGACGGGGAGAUAAGAGCCAGGAGGAAGAGCUGAAUCUGAUAUCUAUAUAUAAACCGUUUCACUCUUCUUGUACCCAAAUCUGCAGUAGUAACAGAAAAGAAUCAGCAUUGGACACGGAUACGUAAAUUUCCAACCAGAAGAUAGAUGUACACAUAAGUAAACAGAACUAAAAAAAAAAAAAAAAAAAAAAAAAACAUACCUCGAUCUUUCCCAUGUCAAGCCCAUCUUUCCUCGCUUCCUGUUUUGCCGCUGUAAGCAGCAUAUCGAGAUCAUCCUGGUCACCCAUCGUAACCAUAUCCCCAUCAUCCUGCAUCUGCAUCCGCACCCGUUGUUUAAACCCAAACUUGUCCCGAAUCUUAGCUUCAAAUUCGUUAUAUCCAACCGACCCGCUAAUCAUGAUAAAUCGCACAUCACUGCUCGCAUGCACCUUGGCCCUGAUCUUGCGCACAUCUGCCCGCCGUGAGGGUUGCCGCCGGUGUGAACGUGGCGGAGGCGCAGCCAUCAUUUCGAAUUCGCCUUCGUCUGCUGAAUCGUCUUCGUACGUGUCACUAACGUAGUCGCCAUCCUCCAAAUAUCGGGCUGGUUGCGCUUGUUGUCGUUGCCGCCUGACACUUGGCCCUCUAGUAGCUCCUGC